CCGUAAAGUAUCAUCAUAUGAUUGGUUUUAGGGCACAUUUCCAACAAGGGGUUAGAACUUUUGAGAAAUGAAAUGAUUUUGAAAAACUUUGUUUUUGCCCACUCACACUUUCUGUUUUGCGCCCCUCCAAGUUUUAGGUAGAAGUGCUUUGGUGGCUCACAGGGAUUUCGACGGUGGUUCUGAUAGAACAUCAUAAAUGUAGGAUCACCCUUGGGUGUUGUUUAAUUAGUACUUAUCCUGCGCGACUGCACUUAGGCUAUUUAUGCUCUAGUUGUGUAUUUCACACUAUAUCUCGCACUGGCACCUUAUCUUAUCUAGUACUAUAGUUGAUUUGGUUUUUGUUUAUUCGUAAUUUCUUAUAUCUCUAUUGCUUCCGCACUAUGCACAUGGCUACGUCACCCUCACGUGACGGCCAGCAUACCCUGAUUUAGGUCGGGGUGUGUCAGUUUGGUAUCAGAGCCCUAGGUUUACAGUCGAGUCUACUUUGAUAUGUUUUGUCAGAACUAUACCGCCUCGUAGAGAUCCACGUCAUUCUGUUGAGUCUACUUUCCCCGAUAUAGCUCAGUUAGGGGAAGCUAUAGCUAAUGCCAUUCAAUCUUCGCUCCGUCCACCCCAAAGGAUGAUAGGAGCAUAUUUAUGCAACUUAGUUAGCUUGUUUCUUGGCAUUUAUGUUGUUAGCUCCUAGUUAUUUUAGUAUUUUAAGCUAUUUUCGUGUGUUUGUAGGUCCAAAGGGUUAAAGUGGCAAAGAAGUACAUUUUGGAGCCUUUUGAAGCAGUUUUGGGCAUGGAAUGGAUAGCUUAUGCUUGGAGCAAAAUGGAUGGAUGAAAUUGAAGACCUAAAGAUGCUAGGAUUCCUAGUUGAAGAAGGAUUCCUAGAAGAAUGAGGAUUCCUACUAAAAGAAGGAAAGUUAAGCCAAGGUUUCCUACUUUGGUUUUGACCUUUCCUAAUCCUAAAAAUUCCCUAAGUUCCGGCAACAAGAAUGAUUCCUAAAUAUUUUAGGACACUUCAAUAUCUGAUUCUCCCAUUCAAACAAGGGAGCCGUACCAAUUCUUUGUACAAAGUCAAAGUCCUUGCCGUGUAUCCUCUUUCCCUUUCUCCCUUGCUUUGCCGCACCCCACAUUCCUUUUCCUUUUGGAUUCUGACCUUAAUUACUCUUUUUCCUUGUGCAUUUGGGCUGAAAUUAUGUUUCCCAAAAAUUAAUUAGGGUUAGGACUUUCUCAUCCCUAUAAAUAAAACAUUUUCUCCCGCAAGACCACCUAUCCACCCUUCACCAUUCAUCAUCAAUCAUUCCAUACACCAUCAGAACCCAUCUCCAUACACUCUUGCCGUAGCCUUCCAUUCACCCAUUCACCACCAUAGAUACUUUAAGCCAUUCUUCCAUACAAACCACCCCUCAAACCUGUUGGAAAUGUGCCCUAAAACCAAUCAUAUGAUGAUACUUUACGGACAUUUCACAUGUUAAACUAAUCUAGUUUAAUAUCAAGGGCAUAGAUUAUUGUUUUAAGCCGUCUCAUAUAAAUGUUAUAUGCUUAAACGCUAAGUCCAAGGAAUAUGUAAUUAGGAGAAUAUAAUUUAAACAAGUUAGAUUUAUGAGACCAUUCUCUUUCGUAUACAUAUCCUAAACGUUCCUGAUCAUAGGAUUGCUAAUUGGGCAUUGACAAUCCGUUAAGAUCAGUACAUGCUAUGUCUUCUCUUAGGGAGAGCGACUAGUCUCGAGUCAUUGGUGUGAUUGACACCAAGACAAGCAUGUAGGUGCUCAAUAGCGAAUGAGUUCACUGAACACGAUCAAUGAAGAGUUCUCAUACUCAUGUCACAUGAGAACUCAUGGUUAGGAUAAUGCAAAGUAGUCCUUUGACCUGAGGCAUCAUAGUUGUCUUGUGGUUAGGUACUUGAUCUUUGAUUAUGUCAAAGUCACCCCAUCCGCGGGUGUCCACGGCAUCGUCGGGGUUAAACCACUUAGCCAUGGAGGCAAGUGAAUACGCAACAAGGGAUCUCUAACCUUCAAACCGUUUGGGGGAGAAUACUCUAUGAUAUGAUUAAGAAUCUCUGGCCAGAGUAUGAAUGAGAUUUAGGAAGUCAUUCCAAAUCACAUUCAAGGUAAUCAUAUAAGUAAAUGAAUCACAUUGGAUAGUAGACAUGAAUAAACUAUCAAACCAAACAAUGUGGUCAAGAGUAUUGUAUUAGAGAAAGACCGUAUUGCAUUUGUAAUUCUAAACUGAAUAGGUUCUCCACCUCUUCUGAUUAGCUUGGGUAACCAUAAUAUACUGCUAGGUGUCACUCAUGGUUUGUGGAAUCCCUAAACGUGUAUAAUCACUAAAGGGAGAAUUGAAAGUAAGUUUCAAUUCACAAUCGAUUUGAAA
RNAcentral lists this long non-coding RNA (2360 nucleotides) under Malus domestica (apple). RNAcentral describes it as "long non-coding RNA (MDOM_LNC018109)". The record is from RNAcentral. Lineage: Eukaryota; Viridiplantae; Streptophyta; Magnoliopsida; Rosales; Rosaceae.